GACGAACGCUGGCGGCGUGCUUAACACAUGCAAGUCGAGCGGUAAGGCCCUUUCAGGGGUACACGAGCGGCGAACGGGUGAGUAACACGUGGGUGACCUGCCCUCAGCUCUGGGAUAAGCCUGGGAAACCGGGUCUAAUACCGGAUAUGACUCCAUGACGCAUGUUGUGGGGUGGAAAGCCUUGUGCGGCUGAGGAUGGGCCCGCGGCCUAUCAGCUUGUUGGUGGGGUGANGGCCUACCAAGGCGACGACGGGUAGCCGGCCUGAGAGGGCGACCGGCCACACUGGGACUGAGACACGGCCCAGACUCCUACGGGAGGCAGCAGUGGGGAAUCUUGCGCAAUGGGCGAAAGCCUGACGCAGCGACGCCGCGUGAGGGAUGACGGCCUGGU
RNAcentral lists this ribosomal RNA (391 nucleotides) under uncultured bacterium. RNAcentral's name for it is "bacterial SSU rRNA". It matches the Rfam family "Bacterial small subunit ribosomal RNA", at positions 28 to 420 of the family's 1533-position model. The record is from RNAcentral.